ACUGAACUUAAGAAUCAUUGAAGAAUGC
RNAcentral lists this small RNA (28 nucleotides) under Bombyx mori (domestic silkworm). RNAcentral describes it as "ovarian small RNA-11689". The record is from RNAcentral. Lineage: Eukaryota; Metazoa; Arthropoda; Insecta; Lepidoptera; Bombycidae.